UAUUAGAGGCCUGCCUGCCCAGUGACAUGCGUUUAACGGCCGCGGUAUCCUGACCGUGCAAAGGUAGCAUAAUCAUUUGUUCCUUAAUUAGGGACUAGUAUGAAAGGCUUAACGAGGGUUUUACUGUCUCUUGUUUCCAAUCAGUGAAAUUGACCUCCCCGUGAAGAGGCGGGGAUAAACAUAUAAGACGAGAAGACCCUGUGGAGCUUAAAUUGCCAGCCCAAUUACAACCCACAAACCCACCAUGGCCAACAUAUAGUAAACUGGGCUAGAAAUUUUGGUUGGGGCGACCUCGGAGAAAAAAAAAUCCUCCGAAUGAUUCAUGACCAGACCUAACAAGUCAAGUUAAUAUAUAUAUAUAUAUAUAUAUAUCAUAAAUUGAUCCCAGAAAUUGAUCAACGGAACAAGUUCCCCCAGGGAUAACAGCGCCUCCUAUUUAUAGUCCAUAUCACAAUAGGGUUUACCCCCUCUAUGUUGGUCAGACAUCCAAAUGGCGC
Molecule: ribosomal RNA, 497 nt
Filed under: Myrmecophaga tridactyla (giant anteater)
Lineage: Eukaryota; Metazoa; Chordata; Mammalia; Pilosa; Myrmecophagidae
Description: partial 16S ribosomal RNA
Rfam family: Archaeal large subunit ribosomal RNA
Source: RNAcentral